Molecule: ribosomal RNA, 321 nt
Filed under: uncultured bacterium
Lineage: Bacteria
Description: bacterial SSU rRNA
Rfam family: Bacterial small subunit ribosomal RNA
Source: RNAcentral
AACGAACGCUGGCGGCAUGCCUAAUACAUGCAAGUCGAACGAGGAAGGCCUUCGGGCCCGGUACUAGUGGCGCACGGGUGAGGAAUGCGUAGAUAAUCUGCCUUUUUGUGGGGAAUAACGUUCCGAAAGGAACGCUAAUACCGCAUAAGACCACGAACACUGCGGUGUAUGUGGUAAAAGAUGGCCUCUUCUUGAAAGCCGUCGCAAAAAGAUGAGUCUACGUCCCAUUAGAUUGAUGGUGGGGUAACGGCCUACCAUAUCCGCGAUGGGUAGCUGGUCUGAGAGGAUGAUCAGCCACACUGGAACUGAGACACGGUCCAG